UGUUGAAAGAAUUCAUGACUG
Caenorhabditis elegans is the source of this 21-nucleotide non-coding RNA. The record is from Ensembl. NCBI's taxonomy places the organism in Eukaryota, Metazoa, Nematoda, Chromadorea, Rhabditida, Rhabditidae.